AUAACUACACUGCAAAAGCUGUGAUUUUAAAAAGCACUGUAGUGUGUACAGUGAGUUUCUUUAUCAAUUUUAUGGUACAUAAUAUGUUCUGCAAUCUUGCAGCUGUUGUUGGUUUUUCUUUUGUUUCUGUUCUGGAAGCCUAUGCUUUAAUAAAUACAUUUUCUACGGUACAAAGGGAAGCCUACGCAGUGCUUCAUGUGUCUAACCGCUGUUGCUGUGGGUGGCAGCGAAACCAGAAUAAGUCCUGCUCCCCUUUUCUCUGGUGUUUUUCUCCUUUUUUGGAAAAAAAAAGAAAAAAUCUGCAAAGAACAUAAAAAUGCAAUUUAUCUACAUGCUCUCUGCCUCUUAUUUCACAACAUAAAUCACCGUUUGUUUGUUUUUUUACUGCUCUUCUCUGAUUUCUCUCCUCUGCUGUUCUUUGAUUUGUUGGAUUGUUUUCAGGAAAGAAACUGGAACUUGUUGCACCGAAGGUAAGACACAUCUGGACGACAGUUAAAGCUUAAUGCUGCUCUAAUCAGCGUUUGUAUAAUAACAGGGGAUUAAAUGACUGCAUGUAAUGUUAAAGGGGUUGCAGAGAAUUAUCACCUGAACCCGACAGUUUCCAGCUGCAGCAGGCAGAUGUUUUCAACUAAAAGCUCUCCAGCGCCCAACAGAAAACAGACAAAGCUCGCAACAGGCUGCUAAGAAGAGACCUUAGAAGUCAUAUUAUUUUUUAAAAAUCCACCAUUUCACACAUGGUUGGCUGAAAUAACCACAAUAUAAACCUGUAGUGCUACUGAAGAGACUCCUAUACAUCCUUUAUUUCCUCGGUGAGACAAUAUUUUCAGCUCACCUAUUUCCAACAUGCAUGUUUUUGUUUUAUUCUUUGGUCUGAAUUCAGUGAAUCCUCCAGAGCAGCUGUGCAGGAUGAUUUAAACAGGAAUAAGAAAUGAUGUUUUGCAGCAGCCGAAGCAGAGAGAGACGCUUGCAGAGCUGCUGUGUGGGCUGACGAGGACAGAUUAGCAUAAUGAGGAUAUAGGAAGCGUCUAAGGCUAAUCUGCUAAACACAAAAAAAUAUGUGCAGGAACUCUGAGUGAGGAUGAAGAGAAAUUAGUCAUGAAUUCUAGAUCUGCAGGUUCGUUUCUGAAAAUGACAUGGGUGUGGCAGACAGACUACCUGAGCAUAGCAACAGUUUUUAGAAUCUGAUCAGCCUUUUGUUCCAACUCUGUAAACACUAUAAUCAGUGAAAUCAACCCACCUUCCAUUUGUUAUUGAACUGUUAUAUUCAGAUUUAUUCAUUACAAAUGAAGAAAUCUCUAACAGCAGCACAAUAUUAUUGAAGAUUAUUUUAUUUUAGGGCAACAAUUACGGCCUCUUAAGGUGUCUUAAGUAACAGUAUGUAGCUGUCAGUUUAUCAGUAGUAAAAAAUAAAUAAAAUUAAUCUUCUGUUACAGGAAUUAUUCAGUAAAAUGCUGCUCAGAUCAAACUAUUCGGUAAGUUUUAAACCUUAAAAGUUAAUGCUAAUAAUGUAGCUACAUCCUCUGCAUUUUGCUGAUUUAGGAGACCACAGAGAGUGAGAGAAGAUCAAAUAAGUUAGGAUUGAUAAGAAGCAGGACAAGAGUGAUAGAAGUACAAUAAGUGGGAAAAUAAAGAUGUAAUAAAGGUAUAAUAAAGACAAUGUACAAGGCAGGAUUAAUUUAUUUACCGGUAUGGACAGACAUGAUAUUGUGAAUUUACAUAUGGAUAUGUACUAUAAUAAAACUAAAAUUAUAUUUAUGAGAAUUUAAAUUCAAUGAUAAACACUGUAGUAACCAAGGUAUCAAGGAAAUUCAGCUUUAACAGCAUCAUCACACUGAAAACAUUAUGUUCUGCUGAGGAUUUGGACCAUACAAUAAGGCGGCCAUGCUAUUUAUUUAUAUGUUUUUUGGUGUAUUAUCUAUUUUAUUAACCCUGCAUGCAAAUGUUCCACCAAAACUAUCUCCUCCAUCAUUGUUUUAAAGGGGCACUAUCACUAUAUCCUGAUCUUAGCACCACCCAAGAUAACUGUAAAUGAUUUUAAAAGAAGUGAAAACAAAGUAGGGUGUUUUUUACCUCUAUAGAACAAUAAUACUGUUGAGUCAGACCAUUCUACACAGUGCUAUAUGAGUCAAUCUCUUCAGUUAGGCUAGGUUAAACAAGUGCAGAAAUGCUAAUGAAGCUAGCAGUUGUAGGUACUGUAAGACCCGUGUGAGUCCAAAACUCCCAACAGGCAGCACAGAUUUACUAACAAAUUCUAACAAAUAAAGAAAAAAUAAAUCAGUUAGAACACCAGGCAAGAAAAUGAAGUAUACAUAUAUAAUACAGUACAUUUCUGUAUUAUUAAUUAGCUUGACUCUUGCUUCCAUUUGGCACAUUAGUUUAGCAGGCUGCUAAUUAUGAGCUGAUUAAGUGACGGUACAUCAUGUAUCUGUUAUGUCCAAAGGGUGGUGUCUUCUUUCCAUAUUGCUCUAUUAAGUACAGCAUAUACACACUUUAUUUACUGCUAUUUAAAUCCAAUGAGCUGCAUAUCUUGAGUUACACAACAUCAUAUGGCUCCUAUAGUCCAGAUGUUAUUUGAUAUCUCGCUCAUCGUGGAGUUCCAGUUUGGAAAUGCGCAUAGGAGCGAAGUUUAUUAUUGCAGUUGUCGUUCUAUUUCUGCACUAAUAACCUCCCUUCACCUCGCAGCCCUGCAAAUCACACAAACCCACCAGGACACAUUAGUCUUUCCACAGUUUAUGAGAAGCCAGCAGCCCUCUGCACUCUGAAGACAAGACGGUUCUUCAAAGGUCCAAAAUGGUGCUUUGGUUUGUUGCUUAUGUUAGAAAGACCAUAAAUAAUUUAAUGCACCGCUGUGUUGAUCUAAUGAUGUUCAGCUCCCUUCGCUGCUAAUAUACCAUCUCCUUAUUAAGAUACAAAAUACUGUGGAAGCCAAACACAAAACCCCACCUGUAGGACAUUAUAUGGGCGGUCUGUUUCCUAGCCUGUUUUUCUAUUUGUUAGUUAGCAGAGAGGCUAAAAAUGUGACUGCUAAAUCUUAUCGUGGUGGGAAAUUGAAUCACUGCUUUAAGUUUUUCUUGCAGAUUCAUGAUUGUUUUGAUAAUUUUUGAACAUUUUCUGACAUGUUUUUGACAAUUUAUGCCACAGUUGUCUGUCACUACUUGUACUUUUAAUGCUGAAGAGCUUUUAUUAGACAGUCAUAAUUAAUUACUGAAAAAGUCCACUUUUAGUGUUUUCCAUCUCCAUAUUAAGAUAUAUACAAAGUAAAGUACAAAACAGUGUGCAUGUGGGAAUAACCAAAAGAAGGCCAAACAUUUAACCCCAUUUGUAGGACAUUAUGUGGACAGUCUGUUUCCCAGCCUGUUUUUUAGAAUGUUAGCGAGCAGAGACUGAAAAUGUCACGAUCAGUGGUAAUUUUGGUGGGAAAUUGGAUCUCUGUUUCAGGUUUUUCUUGCAGAUUCAUGAUAUUAUUUUGGUUUAGAACACUGUUGAUAUGUUUCUGACAUUUUAUUCAACAGUUGUCUGUCACUACUGUACUUUGAUGCUGAAAAAUCUUUGAAUCCAAUCAAAAGUUGUGAUUAAUAUUUGGAAAAAUCCAGUUUUAGUGUUUCUCAUAGUAUCAAAAACGCCCAAACAGACAAUCUUUGCGCACAAACAGUGCACCUAUUCUCAUCAGGAUUGUCUAAUUUAAUAAAAUUUUAUUUAAAAAUGCACAUAUAAUGAUGAAUUAAACUAAUUUAGAGUGUUAUGGAGCAUCCUGUAGAUGAGCCAAGUUAAUUCUAGCACUAAGACUAAUUCUCCAGCACAUUGAAUGAGAUGUAUUGCAUGAUGUUUUGUUAAUUAAGCACCAAUCCAAAACCUAACCUAAUCCCAUAGUGUGGGAUGUCAUUUAUUAUAAGACUCUUAUAAAAGAUAGUAAAGAAAAACAUUUUCAUGGCCAAACUGUUCCUCCGGUAGCCACAAAGAACCGCCUGCAGGUAUCUCACAGAGUCAUUUUUAAUCACAGUGUAGCAGCCUCUCGACACGUUCGGCUCUGCCCAGCGGGUCGGACUGUCCACCUGUCUGUGAGACCCCAACACAUCACGCCAGCCCUGUCGGGAAACAUUAGGCUUUGGGUGAUGUAUGGAAGUCAGCCAGAGAACAGUGAAACCACAUCAAGCUGUUCUGACUGCCUCGGGCUGCUGCAUGUCGCCGUCACAGCAGAACAACACAAACACGCCAGAGAAGCUUUUUUUCUCUCUCUCAGGGUGGUUUUUGUUUUAUUUUAUGAUCAGCAGGUACGAGAGAUGCGAUCAUUUGUUUGUGCAUCUGUCACAGGCAAUAUCUCAGACGACUAACACCAUGGUCCGUGUACGGAUCUGGUAAUUGGAUAUUCCGUUCUGAAACAGGUAUUGAAAAACAAAAAACGAGUCGUUAUUUGAUUUUCGUUUUAAAAUACAAAAUUUAAAAUUGAAACACAAGGCGUUUUUCCUUUUCAUGAUCAAAAAGGGAUAUACAUUUUUUUAAAUGCUUUGAUUUUCGUUUUAUAUUUAGAAUAACAAGAAAGUAAAAUCAGUAAGAGACAGAAAUGAAAAAAUGUCCGUUUUUUUAUUUUCUGAGACCGGAAGUGGUCAUCAGCAAGUGUGGAGCCAAACGACAAGAUUCUCAGAGGGCGGAGCCAGAGAGCAGUGAUUGGUCAGACCAUAGAUACUAUAGAAGACAGCGCGCUAGCGUAUCCAGUCUGCUUUAUAUAUCUAUGGUUAGCACGUCUGGUAGCAUCUCUGGCUGCUGUUGACCUUCUUUUUGGAGUAAAACACGGUGGAAGCUGAAUUAGUGAGGAUGACUCCUGCUCCUGUCAUCUCUAAGCUCCUCACACAUCUUUACCUGCACAUGAGGAAAAUCACUCCUGUAGAAUGCAGAUGUUCAGAAGGAGAUGAUGCCACAUCUGGUCCAGACGAUGGAAGGUCUUGAAGUUCUCUGACUGGCCUCGACUGAAGAUGGUCGUCUCACUGGAUUUAAGGUUCAGAUGCUCAGUAACAAACUCCACCAAUGAGCCAACAGGGAAGCUUUAGGUUUAUUAAAUGUUGCUAUGAAGGUUUCGCUGUUUUUCUUUGUGAAUGCAAUGUGCUCCAACUGAAACUUGAAUUAGAACUUAGAAGUAAAUCCUUCCAUCUGAAAGGUUUUAGUUGCAUUAAUAACCUCAUAACAUUCUAAUUUUUAUUCCAGUCUUGGUUGGAAAUAGAAUCUCUGGAUUGAUUCAGGUAAAAACUGAACUUCACAGCAUGUUGCAGCAAAACAACCAGAUGAAAACUGUGAUGGUGUUGGAUUGUCAGACCGUAAUGUUGCAGCUCAAAGCAGCUUUUCUAGCUCAGUUCAUUCUGACAUUCAGCUAUGAAUCAACACAGCAGAUGGUGAUCCAUGCUGUGGAAGUCUCACAUCUCCUGAUUUAAUGGAGCUGCUUUGCACUUUUUACACUGUUUAUUCACCAACACUUUAUUUAAUAAAAGUCCCAUCUAGUUUUUAUGAGGAAUGUGAUGCUUUAAUUUCUCUGUGAAUAACUGCAGUCUAAUGCAACAGCUGGAAUUGUAACAUCUGUCCUGAUAUUGAUCAUGAAGUAUUGAUCAGAAUACUUAUGGUCAGCAGUCAUCCCUGAAGUUUUACUUUAAAAUCUUUACUUGUGAUGUGAACUUUGGUAAGAAGCAGAAACUUUUGCGUUGCCAUGGAUACAUGAGUGUUAAAUUCUGUCCAUGUUUCCAUUUUGGGAAAUUCAGUCCAGCAGAUGAGUUUGUUUUUACUGCCAGCUACCAUUCAGUCUGAGAUAUUAAGAAUAAAUAAAUAUGUAUAAUGUGGAAAUUAACAGAGUUUAUUUUUAUUUAUUCCUACACCUGCUGCAUUUAAAGUUCCAGAAUGUGGAGGAAUUUAGGAUCACAAUAACAGACAAUAAUAUUAUCUGAAAGUCGGGUUAUUGUUGUUUAUCAGCACAAUACAAAAAGAUUAAUGUUAGAAAUAUUCCAGUUAAGACUCUAGAAUAUCAUGAUUUAUCUAAAUUUACCUCAAUAAUAUGAAUGUUCAGGUUAAGAUUGUACAGUGAUAUUUAUUAUGUAAGUUUAGCUGAUUAAAGUUUAUGACUCUGCACUAAAAUAUUAUUUAAAUUGACAUCAUUAUUAUAAUAUUUAGGGUCAGACCCUACAGUAUUGAGAUUAAGAAAUCAAAUAUUCUAUAAAAUGUAAAUACACUGAACUCAUUUGGAUGUAUUUAAGUGAGACUCUACAAUAUUAUUUGACACAAAUCUAUCUAAAUCAAAAUUUGAAUCAUUUUUACUCCAAACAUUUACUGGACUGAUUUAAACAUUAAAAUCACUCCUUUCUAAUCCUCUGCUGUACGUUCAAACCUGAGGCCUUAAAUAGAAACACACAAGUAUCUGAUUGAAGGAACUUCUGCAGAGUCCUGGUUCCAGAACAUGAUGAUAGAAUUAUAGACAAACUUUAACAAAAGCUGCCUGAGAGUUUACAGCUUUUUAUGUUGGAUUUCUUCAGUAAUUUAAUGAGAGUUAUCAGCAAAAAUCAAGUGUUCAUUUGAUGAACUUGAUUUCCUAAAACAUCCAGAAUUGGAGCUCAUAUCUUUGGCAGCUGUAAAGUUUCUGCUCCUUCAAAGUUCACAACACAAUGAAUGAAUUCCUAAAACACUCUCAAUGCUGGAGAGCGUUUGAUGCUGAAGCAGUGACCAGUUUUUCUGUUUCUUCUCUGGAGAUGCACAAUGAGGGACGUCUGCAGAGACUGAGAAAGAGUCUCACCACAUCCUGACAUGAGGAAAAAGACUUUAUUGAAGACUACAAUGAGAAAAACUAUCAGACAGCAGACGGCUGCAUUCAAGGUGAGCUCUGAACAUUUGAUCUGGAACAGGAAUUCAAUAACGGCAGCAUGAGCUUCAUUUCAGUCUGUAGCUGCUGAAUUCAUGGAUGAAUCAUCUGGCACUAGAGAGGAAGACCAUCAAACAUCCAUGUCAGCUGAUGGAGGUCCAAGAGUCUGACCCAACAAACAACCUACAGAGUGAAGACCUCGAAUCUGAUUGGACGGCCUCCUAUUCAGCCACAUGUGUGAACAAAUGCCUCUAAGCUGAUUAAGCUGAUUUGUUUUCUAAAAUAAAUCUAGUUUGAGUCCUAA
Molecule: long non-coding RNA, 7136 nt
Organism: Amphiprion ocellaris (clown anemonefish)
Lineage: Eukaryota; Metazoa; Chordata; Actinopteri; Pomacentridae
Exons: 3
Source: RefSeq, a predicted model, not a curated record